RNAcentral lists this ribosomal RNA (251 nucleotides) under uncultured prokaryote. Its description in RNAcentral is "partial 16S rRNA". It matches the Rfam family "Bacterial small subunit ribosomal RNA", at positions 525 to 775 of the family's 1533-position model. The record is from RNAcentral.
ACAGAGGUGGCAAGCGUUGUUCGGAUUUAUUGGGUGUAAAGGGCAGGUAGGUUGCUUUGCAAGUCCGGUGUGAAAUCCCACGGCUCAACCGUGGAACUGCAUUGGAAACUGCUUAGCUUGAGUAUCGGAGAGGUGAGGGGAAUUCUCGGUGUAAGGGUGAAAUCUGUAGAUAUCGAGAGGAACACCAGUGGCGAAGGCGCCUCACUGGCCGAUUACUGACACUGAGCUGCGAAAGCAAGGGGAGCAAACAG